Molecule: ribosomal RNA, 443 nt
Filed under: uncultured bacterium
Lineage: Bacteria
Description: partial 16S ribosomal RNA
Rfam family: Bacterial small subunit ribosomal RNA
Source: RNAcentral
CCUACGGGUGGCAGCAGUGGGGAAUAUUGGGCAAUGGAGGAAACUCUGACCCAGCAACGCCGCGUGAAUGAUGAAGGUCUUCGGAUUGUAAAGUUCUUUUCUAAGGGAAGAAGAAAGUGACGGUACCUUAGGAAUAAGCCUCGGCUAACUACGUGCCAGCAGCCGCGGUAAUACGUAGGUGGCAAGCGUUGUCCGGAUUUACUGGGUGUAAAGGGCGUGCAGCCGGGAAGACAAGUCAGAUGUGAAAUCCCGCGGCUCAACCGCGGAACUGCAUUUGAAACUGUUUUUCUUGAGUACCGGAGAGGUCAGCGGAAUUCCUUGUGUAGCGGUUAAAUGCGUAGAUAUAAGGAAGAACACCAGUGGCGAAGGCGGAUGACUGGACGGCAACUGACGGUGAGGCGCGAAAGCGUGGGGAGCAAACAGGAUUAGAUACCCCAGUAGUC